RNAcentral lists this ribosomal RNA (986 nucleotides) under Alexandrium satoanum. RNAcentral's name for it is "LSU rRNA". It matches the Rfam family "Eukaryotic large subunit ribosomal RNA", at positions 23 to 964 of the family's 3401-position model. The record is from RNAcentral. Lineage: Eukaryota; Dinophyceae; Gonyaulacales; Pyrocystaceae.
ACCCGCUGAAUUUAAGCAUAUAAGUAAGCGGUGGAAAAGGAACCAAAUGGGAUUUCUUUAGUAAUUGCGAAUGAACAAGGAUGUGCUCAGCCUGACAAAUGAAGCACUUGAGCUUUGAAUUGUGUUUUGCAAUGUAUCACUAGUGGAGGUUCAGGUGCAAGCCUAUUGAAAGAUAGCGUCGUUGAGGGUGAGAAUCCUUUUAAUCACUUGUGGUCCCCUGUGCACGGUCUACAUUUGGUGAAUCACAUUCCUCGACAUUGGAAUGCAAAUGGGGUGGUAAAUUUCAUUCAAGGGCAAAUAUAUUAUUGAGCCUGAUAGUGGACAAGUACCAUGAGGGAAAUAUGAAAAGGAUUUUGAAAAGAAAAUUAAAAGAGUUUGCAAUUGCUGAACAGAAAGCAAGCAGAAGGUUUUUGUUUUGGUGAGAUUGUUGCAAAUGCAUUUGCAUCUGUUGCUGAAUGUGUGUGCAAUGGUUCCUGCCUUGGGUGCUAAUUUCAAUUUCGCAUAUCAUUACCUUUGCUUGUGAAAUGUAAAAUAUUUGCAAGUAUUGGAUUGCAUGUGCACGCAAUGACUUGUGGUUUGGCACAGUGCUUGCUUAUGAGUUAAUGUUCAUGUGCUCUGUCAAUACAUUAUUGUGAAUGCACACACAUGUCAACCACUGCAAUUGGCAAAUGGUUUCUGCUUGACCCGUCUUGAAACACGGACCAAGGAGUCUAACAGAUGUGCAAGUUUUUGGGUCUCCAUGCCCUUUUGCGCAAUGAAAGUGUUUGCUGUAAUUUGUGCACCAGCAGCUGACCAAUUAGCAGACAGAGGUUUGAGUUUGAGCAUAUCUAUUAGGACCCGAAAGAUGGUGAACUAUGCCUGAACAGAACGAAUUCAGAGGAAACUCUGAUGGAGGUUCGUAUCGAUACUGACGUGCAAAUCGUUCGUCAUACUUGGGUAUAGGGGCGAAAGACUAAUCGAACCAUCUAGUAGCUGGUUCCCUCCGA